AAUAAAUAGAGAAUAUCAUGUGGCUUUUUCAAUAUCACAUCCGUAUCAACCCGAGACACCAAUAUAAUCCCAAGAGCUCUGCUCGAGGGAUUAUAUUGGUUGAGGGUUGAUAUGGUGUGUGAUAUUGAAAAAGCCAUAUCAUAUACACUUUAUUAUAUACAUAUACCUCAAGUAGAUGUUUUUUAUGUAACAUGACGUCAUACAGAUUAUAGGUUUGACAUGACGUCAUACAGAUUAGGGAUUUGAAAGCCUUUGCAACACAGUGACUGCAAUCGAUGACGUGACGUCAUACAGAUUAAAGGUGUGAUAAAGCUUUUGCAACCGUGCUGAUAUCGAUAUCAUCACGGGUGGCUGAUACAGCACGCUUG
This 368-nucleotide long non-coding RNA is filed under the name Mytilus galloprovincialis (Mediterranean mussel). The record is from RNAcentral. Lineage: Eukaryota; Metazoa; Mollusca; Bivalvia; Mytilida; Mytilidae.